RNAcentral lists this long non-coding RNA (582 nucleotides) under Phoenix dactylifera (date palm). RNAcentral describes it as "long non-coding RNA (PDAC_LNC003004)". Lineage: Eukaryota; Viridiplantae; Streptophyta; Magnoliopsida; Arecales; Arecaceae. The record is from RNAcentral.
UCUCUUAACACAAAACACAUAACAUGACACAUAACCAAAAGCCAUAGUUUUAAACAAGUUUAAUGGAAUAUAUAUGUCUAAACAUAACUAUCAACUUAAAUAUAAUCACCACAAUCUUAGAAUGCUGAAGACAAUACUGAGUUACUUGAACAAACCAAUAACAUCCAUAGUAAUUACACUUCACAAACUUAAAACCAUUCCAAAAUGAGCAAGCCCGAAGCAACCCAUGCAUUUCCCUCCGCGCACCAUGAGGUUAACGUAUGAGAAAUUUUGAAGUAUUUGGGUCGAAGCUUGCUAUUAACUAAAUCUAUGUAGCAAACCAUAGAAAUAAAACUAAAAACAGCAGGUAGAUCCAGCUGAAACAACAAAAUAACUUCCUAUACCUCUAGAUUAAUUAUAAUCAGGUUACAAGAUCCAACAAUAAAUUAAUGGAGGAAACAAAAUGAUGGAAUAGGAGUCAAACCUUGGAUUAAUCAUCAUUAUGUUAGAAAACACAAAAAUGGAGCAAUUAGAGAACAGAAGCACGAACUGCUCAACUGUAAUUGCCCAAUCAAAAGAGACCUAGUCUAUAGCAAAAUACAA